AACGAACGCUGGCGGCAUGCCUAAUACAUGCAAGUCGAACGAGAUCUUCGGAUCUAGUGGCGCACGGGUGCGUAACGCGUGGGAAUCUGCCCUUGGGUUCGGAAUAACAGUUAGAAAUGACUGCUAAUACCGGAUGAUGACGAAAGUCCAAAGAUUUAUCGCCCAAGGAUGAGCCCGCGUAGGAUUAGCUAGUUGGUGAGGUAAAGGCUCACCAAGGCUACGAUCCUUAGCUGGUCUGAGAGGAUGAUCAGCCACACUGGGACUGAGACACGGCCCAGACUUCUACGGGAGGCAGCAGUAGGUAAUAUUGGACAAUGGGCGAAAGCCUGAUCCAGCAAUGCCGCGUGAGCGAUGAAGGCCUUAGGGUUGUAAAGCUCUUUUACCCGGGAUGAUAAUGACAGUACCGGGAGAAUAAGCCCCGGCUAACUCCGUGCCAGCAGCCGCCGUAA
RNAcentral lists this ribosomal RNA (449 nucleotides) under uncultured bacterium. RNAcentral's name for it is "partial 16S ribosomal RNA". It matches the Rfam family "Bacterial small subunit ribosomal RNA", at positions 29 to 523 of the family's 1533-position model. The record is from RNAcentral.